Molecule: ribosomal RNA, 565 nt
Filed under: Amphiprion akindynos (barrier reef anemonefish)
Lineage: Eukaryota; Metazoa; Chordata; Actinopteri; Pomacentridae
Description: partial 16S ribosomal RNA
Rfam family: Bacterial large subunit ribosomal RNA
Source: RNAcentral
GGUCCUGCCUGCCCAGUGACUAUAUGUUUAACGGCCGCGGUACUUUGACCGUGCGAAGGUAGCGCAAUCACUUGUCUUUUAAAUGAAGACCUGUAUGAAUGGCACAACGAGGGCUUAACUGUCUCCUUUUUCCAGUCAAUGAAAUUGAUCUUCCCGUGCAGAAGCGGGAAUAAUAUCAUAAGACGAGAAGACCCUGUGGAGCUUUAGACACUAAAUCAGCCCUUGUCCAAGAAUCCCAAUUAAAGGAAUGAACACUAGAGUGAGACCUGAUCUAAUGUCUUCGGUUGGGGCGACCUUGGGGAAAGAAAAAUCCCCCAUGCGGAACGGAAAUACCAUAUUUCUAAAACUAAGAGAGACCACUCAAAGUAUCAAAAAUUUUGACCAACUAUAUGAUCCGGCUUAACGCCGAUCAACGGACCAAGUUACCCCAGGGAUAACAGCGCAAUCCUCUUUUAGAGCCCAUAUCGACAAGAGGGUUUACGACCUCGAUGUUGGAUCAGGACAUCCUAAUGGUGCAGCCGCUAUUAAGGGUUCGUUUGUUCAACGAUUAAAGUCCUACGUGAUC